This 253-nucleotide ribosomal RNA is filed under the name uncultured bacterium. RNAcentral's name for it is "partial 16S ribosomal RNA". It matches the Rfam family "Bacterial small subunit ribosomal RNA", at positions 524 to 776 of the family's 1533-position model. The record is from RNAcentral.
UACAGAGGGGGCAAGCGUUGUUCGGAAUUACUGGGCGUAAAGGGCGCGUAGGCGGCCUUCUAAGUCGAACGUGAAAUCCCCGGGCUCAACCCGGGAACUGCGUCCGAUACUGGAAGGCUUGAAUCCGGGAGAGGGAUGUGGAAUUCCAGGUGUAGCGGUGAAAUGCGUAGAUAUCAGGAGGAACACCGGUGGCGAAGGCGGAUCUCUGGGCCUUACCUGACGCUGAGGCGCGAAAGCUAGGGGAGCGAACAGG